CCUACGGGCGGUAGCAGUGGGGAAUUUUGGACAAUGGGGGCAACCCUGAUCCAGCCAUGCCGCGUGCGGGAAGAAGGCCUUCGGGUUGUAAACCGCUUUUGUCAGGAGAGAAAUCUCUUGGGCUAAUACCCUGAGAGGAUGACGGUACCUGAAGAAUAAGCACCGGCUAACUACGUGCCAGCAGCCGCGGUAAUACGUAGGGUGCAAGCGUUAAUCGGAAUUAGUGCAGGUAAAUCUUCAACACAGGGGUGAAAUCCCCGGGCUUAACCUGGGAACUGCACUUGUGACUGCACGGCUAGAGUACGGCAGAGGGGGAUGGAAUUCCGCGUGUAGCAGUGAAAUGCGUAGAUAUGCGGAGGAACACCGAUGGCGAAGGCAGUCCCCUGGGCCUGUACUGACGCUCAUGCACGAAAGCGUGGGGAGCAAACAGGAUUAGAUACCCUUGUAGUC
Molecule: ribosomal RNA, 450 nt
Filed under: uncultured bacterium
Lineage: Bacteria
Description: partial 16S ribosomal RNA
Rfam family: Bacterial small subunit ribosomal RNA
Source: RNAcentral